Molecule: small RNA, 200 nt
Filed under: Roseovarius sp. THAF8
Lineage: Bacteria; Pseudomonadati; Pseudomonadota; Alphaproteobacteria; Rhodobacterales; Roseobacteraceae
Description: caulobacter sRNA CC2171
Source: RNAcentral
CAACAACUGAAAGGAGGUGAUCCAGUGUCUAUAAAGGGAUUGGAGAGAGGUGUCGGAACAGUCAGGGAGGUUCGUGUCUGAGGCAGCCCUUGGGCAUGUAAACACCCGGAUUGGCAAGGACGCUUUCGCGGUGUCCAGGGUCUAACCGACCUCGCCUCCGAAAUCUUUAGAAGGGCCGUUCCACGAGGUUGGGGCGGCCC